This 778-nucleotide ribosomal RNA is filed under the name uncultured Neocallimastigales. RNAcentral describes it as "partial large subunit ribosomal RNA". It matches the Rfam family "Eukaryotic large subunit ribosomal RNA", at positions 24 to 618 of the family's 3401-position model. Lineage: Eukaryota; Fungi; Neocallimastigomycota; Neocallimastigomycetes; Neocallimastigales. The record is from RNAcentral.
UAUCUCUGUAGAGUCUGCAUAUCAAUAAGCGGAGGAAAAGAAACUAACUAGGAUUCCCUCAGUAACGGCGGGUGAAGCGGGAAGAGCUCAAAUUUGAAAUCUUCAAGGUUUUACCUUGACGAAUUGUAGUUUAAAGAAGUGUUUUCUGUUGGAUGUUUUGGUAAAAGUUCUUUGGAAUAGGACAUCAUAGAGGGUGAGAAUCCCGUAUUUGACCAUUAUUUCCAGCUUUGUGAUACACUUUCAAAGAGUCGGAUUGUUUGGGAAUGCAGUCCAAAAUGGGUGGUAAAUUUCAUCUAAAGCUAAAUACUGGCGAGAGACCGAUAGCGAACAAGUACCGUGAGGGAAAGAUGAAAAGAACUUUGAAAAGAGAGUUAAACAGUACGUGAAAUUGUCAAAAGGGAAGCGUUUGACACCAGUGUUGUUUUCUCGAAAAUCAAUUAAAAAGUGCUUGGAUUUUGUAUUGUUAAUUGACCUUAUAAGCUUUCUUCACUUUUUUCAUGUCUUUUUUAAUGCACUUUUCGUUUAACAAGUCAACAUCAGUUUCUUUUGUUGUAAAAAGGUCAUUGGAAGGUGGCUUUCUUUUCGGAGAAAGUGUUUAUAGCCUUUGACUCCUGCAAUCGGAGAGACUGAGGUCUGCAGCGUAGAUCCUUCUGGAUUAGAUUCAUUUGUGCUAAGUUACAACCGUUUAUAGACAACUUGUUGACUGUAUUCGAUCCUGUAGCUUACUCGCUUAUGUAAUUUUACCUACGCUUAGGAUGUUGAGUCAUCACACAUCUCU